GAUGAACGCUGGCGGCGUGCCUAAUACAUGCAAGUCGAGCGAACAUACGAUGAGCUUGCUCCUCUGACGUUAGCGGCGUACGGGUGAGUAACACGUGUAUAACCUACCUAUAAGACUUUGAUAACUUCGUGAACCCGCAUCUAAUACCGGAUAAUAUAUUGCACCGCAUGGUUCAAUAGUUAAUGACGCUUUUGCUGUCACUUAUAGAUGGAUCCGCGCCGCAUUAGCUAGUUGGUAAUGUAACGGCUUACCAAGGCAACGAUGCGUAGCCGACCUGAGAGGGGGAUGAGCCACACUGGAAAUGAGACACGGUCAAGAAUCAUAAGGGAGGCAGCAGUAGGGAAUAUAACGCAAUGGGCGAAAGACGGACGGAGAAAAACCGCGUGAGUGAGGAAGGUCUUCGGAUCGUAAAACUCUGUUAUUAGGGAAGAACAAAUGUGUAAGAAACGAUGCACGUCUUGAAGGUACAUAAGCAGAAAGAAACGGAUAACUACGUG
This 497-nucleotide ribosomal RNA is filed under the name uncultured bacterium. RNAcentral describes it as "partial 16S ribosomal RNA". It matches the Rfam family "Bacterial small subunit ribosomal RNA", at positions 28 to 507 of the family's 1533-position model. The record is from RNAcentral.